Molecule: ribosomal RNA, 253 nt
Filed under: Segatella copri DSM 18205
Lineage: Bacteria; Pseudomonadati; Bacteroidota; Bacteroidia; Bacteroidales; Prevotellaceae
Description: Prevotella copri DSM 18205 partial 16S ribosomal RNA
Rfam family: Bacterial small subunit ribosomal RNA
Source: RNAcentral
UACGGAAGGUCCGGGCGUUAUCCGGAUUUAUUGGGUUUAAAGGGAGCGUAGGCCGGAGAUUAAGCGUGUUGUGAAAUGUAGACGCUCAACGUCUGCACUGCAGCGCGAACUGGUUUCCUUGAGUACGCACAAGGUGGGCGGAAUUCGUGGUGUAGCGGUGAAAUGCUUAGAUAUCACGAAGAACUCCGAUUGCGAAGGCAGCUCACUGGAGCGCAACUGACGCUGAAGCUCGAAAGUGCGGGUAUCGAACAGG